Molecule: ribosomal RNA, 456 nt
Filed under: uncultured bacterium
Lineage: Bacteria
Description: SSU rRNA
Rfam family: Bacterial small subunit ribosomal RNA
Source: RNAcentral
AGGAUAAACGCUGGCGGCGUGCCUAACACAUGCAAGUCGAACGCCCUUGAGCAAUCAAGGGAGUGGCGGACGGGUGAGUAACACGUGGGUACCUACCCCAAGGUGAGGAAUACCGGCGAGAAAUCGCCGACAAUACCGCAUACGUUUCGCAAGAAACAAAGCUCGCAAGAGCGCCAUGGGAAGGGCCUGCGGCCGAUUAGCUGGUUGGUGAGGUAACAGCUUACCAAGGCGACGAUCGGUAGCUGGUCUGAGAGGACGAUCAGCCACACUGGGAUUGAGAACGGCCCAGACUCCUACGGGGGGCAGCAGUGAGGAAUUUUCGUCAAUGGGGGGCAACCCUGAACGAGCAACGCCGCGUGCAGGAAGAAGGUUUUCGGAUCGUAAACUGCUUUCUCUGGGACGAGAACGGACGGUACCAGAGGAAUCAGCCCCGGCUAACUACGUGCCAGCAGCCGC